RNAcentral lists this ribosomal RNA (499 nucleotides) under uncultured bacterium. RNAcentral's name for it is "bacterial SSU rRNA". It matches the Rfam family "Bacterial small subunit ribosomal RNA", at positions 28 to 506 of the family's 1533-position model. The record is from RNAcentral.
GACGAACGCUGGCGGCGUGCUUAACACAUGCAAGUCGAACGAGAAGGUGACUUCGGUCACUGGAUAGUGGCGUCCGGGUGAGUAACACGUAGGUAAUCUACCUUCGGGUGGGGAAUAACGUCUCGAAAGAGACGCUAAUACCGCAUAAUGCAGCGGCACCUAAUGGUGAUUAGUUGUUAAAGCGGGGGAGUCUUCGGACCUCGCGCCUGAAGAGGAGCCUGCGGCAGAUUAGCAGUUGGUGAGGUAAUGGCUCACCAAGGCUUCGAUCUGUAGCUGGUCUGAGAGGACGGCCAGCCACACUGGCACUGACACACGGGCCAGACUCCUACGGGAGGCAGCAGUGGGGGAAUUUUGGGCAAUGGGCGAAAGCCUGACCCAGCAACGCCGCGUGAAGGAGGAAAUCCUUCGGGAUGUAAACUUCAUAAGUAAGGGAAGAAAGCUGCGGAUCGAAUAAGUCCGCAGUCCGACGGUACCUUACGUAAGCCACGGCUAACUACGU